AUGCAUUUUGGCACUGCCUUUCUUUUAAAACAUGGUUCCACUCACAGUGAGCUUGGUGUGGCAGUGACCUUCUCACCCAUCAAGUGUUCUCAUUGUCUUUGUUCAAACAAGCAAUCCCCGGAGAAGAUUUACAAGAGGUCUAAGCUGGAGAGAUGCUCUCAACAUCAGUGAUAGGAAGAUUUACAGCAGCUGUGAGUCUCAUCAUCACUACAUAUAUUUGAGGUAGAAUCUGAUAUAGAAUAUGUUUCUAUUUUAAAUUUUCUAAACCGAUUUUCUAAACAGCAGCAGUCACUUUUACCUACAAUCUGUCUGAGAUUUCAAGAUCACUUGAUCACAGCCAAAAGACUUCUUGUGCUUGCUUCAGAGUGGGAAUCACUGGUGUUUUCAUAGUAGUUCUUCAGCUGGCAGAGAAAGGCAAAAAAGGAGUCAAGAGAUGGAAGCAGCAGCUAAAGAGUUAGACUAGAAAUACACAGACUGAAAAGGAAGAGUUGGCUGGUAUAUAUUUUUUUUAUUUAUUCAGACAAAGGUUGGUCUUCUGAUUUGAUUUCUUCAGAUCAGGGUUGGAUGCCCUUUCUUGAAGAUCGAUUUUACUCAAAUACAAAGUUAUUGACCUCAGCAAAACAAUAUGUGGAUGCAAACCUAGCUUAAAUGAGCAGCAUACAGCUGCAAUCACCUCACAUAAGCAACAAGAGUAACUACACCCAUCAGGUCUAACAUAUAAGCUUUCUGCCCUUCUCCUAUUCUGACCUUUCUUGAGAAACCUGAACUGAGGUGCUACUGAAUGAAUGAAAGACUUUAUGUCUAGUGCUUAUGACUGAUGUCAUAAAUGAAAUCUGUCAAAAAAAAAAGUUUCCCUCCAAACUUAAAAUUUAACCAUCUAUAAUUAUCAUUAACUUUUCUAACUGUACAGAGAAGCAAAUAUUCCAUUCAAUCAAAACAAUACUAUGUGCUUCAUCUAAUAUGAAAUGCACAACUUUAGUCAUGUUUAAAAUGCUGGAACACUCCUGCCUAUUAAUAACUGUAGACUGAUAUUAACAGUUUAAUACUAAACAAAGAUGCUCAUUUCUUUCCAAAAACCUCCCACUACCACACAAUAGAAUAAUUAAGAAUGCUUGGUUCUAAUAGCAUCCUGGCAAGAAAAAUGGGGGAAAAAAAAGAGCUCUAUCAAAGCAAACACAGUUUCAAAUAUCAAUGCUACAACAACAGCUUGGGAAUGAACCACCUACUCAGACUUUUCAGUAAAUAAACUUCAAAACCUGACUUGUCUAAUCA
RNAcentral lists this long non-coding RNA (1272 nucleotides) under Anser cygnoides (Swan goose). RNAcentral describes it as "lncRNA (ENSACDG00005006406.1)". Lineage: Eukaryota; Metazoa; Chordata; Aves; Anseriformes; Anatidae. The record is from RNAcentral.